Molecule: ribosomal RNA, 460 nt
Filed under: uncultured bacterium
Lineage: Bacteria
Description: partial 16S ribosomal RNA
Rfam family: Bacterial small subunit ribosomal RNA
Source: RNAcentral
CCUACGGGAGGCAGCAGUGAGGAAUAUUGGUCAAUGGGCGCGAGCCUGAUCCAGCCAAGUAGCGUGAAGGAUGACUGCCCUACGGGUUGUAAACUUCUUUUAUAAAGGAAUAAAGUGAGGCACGUGUGCCUUUUUGUAUGUCCUUCAUGAAUAAGGCUCGGCUAACUCCGUGCCAGCAGCCGCGGUAAUACGGAGGGUCCGAGUGUUAUCCGGAUUUAUUGGGUUUAAAGGGAGCGUAGAUGGGUUGGUAAGUCAGUUGUGAAAGUUUGGGGCUCAACCGUGAAAUUGCAAUUGAUACUGGCAGUCUUGAGUGCAGUUGAGGUAGGCGGAAUUCGUGGUGUAGCGGUGAAAUGCGUAGAUAUCACGAAGAACUCCGAUUGCGAAGGCAGCUUACUAAACUGCCACUGACAUUGAUGCUCGAAAGUGUGGGUAUCAAACAGGAUUAGAUACCCCUGUAGUC